This 465-nucleotide ribosomal RNA is filed under the name Vreelandella stevensii. Its description in RNAcentral is "partial 16S ribosomal RNA". It matches the Rfam family "Bacterial small subunit ribosomal RNA", at positions 338 to 795 of the family's 1533-position model. The record is from RNAcentral. Lineage: Bacteria; Pseudomonadati; Pseudomonadota; Gammaproteobacteria; Oceanospirillales; Halomonadaceae.
CCUACGGGAGGCAGCAGUGGGGAAUAUUGGACAAUGGGGGGAACCCUGAUCCAGCCAUGCCGCGUGUGUGAAGAAGGCCCUCGGGUUGUAAAGCACUUUCAGUGAGGAAGAACGCCUGGUGGUUAAUACCCAUCAGGAAAGACAUCACUCACAGAAGAAGCACCGGCUAACUCCGUGCCAGCAGCCGCGGUAAUACGGAGGGUGCGAGCGUUAAUCGGAAUUACUGGGCGUAAAGCGCGCGUAGGUGGCUUGAUAAGCCGGUUGUGAAAGCCCCGGGCUCAACCUGGGAACGGCAUCCGGAACUGUCAAGCUAGAGUGCAGGAGAGGAAGGUAGAAUUCCCGGUGUAGCGGUGAAAUGCGUAGAGCUCGGGAGGAAUACCAGUGGCGAAGGCGGCCUUCUGGACUGACACUGACACUGAGGUGCGAAAGCGUGGGUAGCAAACAGGAUUAGAUACCCGAGUAGUC